AGAAUCAACGCUGGCGGCGUGCCUAACACAUGCAAGUCGAACGCGAAAGUCCCGCAAGGGAUAAGUAGAGUGGCAAACGGGUGAGUAACACGUGGGUGACCUGCCUUCGAGUGGGGGAUAACGUCCCGAAAGGGACGCUAAUACCGCAUAACAUCCUGCCUUUGAAGAGGUGGAGAUCAAAGCUGGGGAUCGCAAGACCUAGCGCUGGAAGAGGGGCCCGCGCCUGAUUAGCUAGUUGGUGGGGUAAUGGCUCACCAAGGCAACGAUCAGUA
This 272-nucleotide ribosomal RNA is filed under the name uncultured bacterium. Its description in RNAcentral is "partial small subunit ribosomal RNA". It matches the Rfam family "Bacterial small subunit ribosomal RNA", at positions 26 to 285 of the family's 1533-position model. The record is from RNAcentral.